Long non-coding RNA from Bos taurus (domestic cattle), 1811 nucleotides. NCBI's taxonomy places the organism in Eukaryota, Metazoa, Chordata, Mammalia, Artiodactyla, Bovidae. The record is from Ensembl.
GAGCAUGUUCCAAUCUGUGUCAGGAAGACCGCAAAUCUGACUGCCUCUCACACUCCUUCCCUCCACCGUUUCCGUCUCCUUUCUUCCCUCAACACUGAUUCACAGAGCUGAGUGCACAGAGGGAAUGGGCUACCUCCAGCUCCAUGCCUCGGGACGGGGGCGGAGGGGCGGUUGAUUCUGGAAAGAGCGCUGGAUCAAGUGACCUAGCUGUGGCCUAGGCACCUGAAACCUUUUAUCUUCCUUGUCUGAAAACCUGUGCCAAAGGGAAUCCAAGCAGGAUCUUUUCUCUUGUCUCGAUUUUCAGCUGAGCCUGAGACAGAGGGGAGAAUGCGCUUAGUUCGCCCUAACCUAAACGCAGACAGCCACGGGAUCACGGAGAAGCGGGGAUGCUGCAGAGGACGUGGCCUUGUUGCUGGCCAAACUCUUGGCCUUCUCUGCCCGCUGAAGCCAGAUGAAAAAUACGGAGACAGAGUUUGCAGGAAAUAGAAAGGUGGCUUUCUCAGCCAGCGGAGAGGGGAACACGCCUGACCGCGUUCCUCCCCACUCCCCACCCCAAGGAGCAACCACCCCGUCUGAAGAGACUCCAUGGGCCCCCUCUGCUAAGAGUGUUUGUUUCAUGGAAAGAGCCUAUUCCUUCUCCACUCUCCUGGUGGGGGAAGCCCAACAGAAUCGUCCCUGAGUGAAUGGUCAGACCCGACUGAGCAACAGGAGCAUGAGACGUUUAUUGCUUUGUGUCAAAUCAAGGUUACAGUUCUUCACAGAAACCCUUUGAAAUUGAAUUUUUAAAAAUGCCAGGGCUCCCCCUGCAGGACAUUUGGAGCAACCACAGACGCCUCGAGGGCGGCCUGCAUCAGCCCCAGAUUCUCUGUCAUCAGCAAAGCGGAACCUUCCCCCGAUCCGGGGCCACCACCACCCUCCAUCCGAGUCAGAGUGUGGGUGCUUCUUUUCACCCUGCAUGAGAUGGACAGAGCCUGCUUCUCGUUCAUUCAGUCAUUUGUGGGGAUUUUCCCAGCUGACUGAUGUUAUUCGAAAUGGAAAAGAUGGAAACCUCAGAAGCGAAUGGUUUUCAAACACGGAGGCCAGGAGUACAUGUCCUGCUAUUUUCCACCCACCCCGGUAAAGGAUUUUGCACUGUUGAUUUAUUCCAACAAGCAGAUUUUUAAAAAUUAAUUUUUAUUGGAGACUUGCUUUACAGCGCUAUAUACAUUUCUACCGUACAGCAAAAUGAGCCAAUCAUACAUAUACAUACAUGCCCUCCCGUCCAGACGUUCCCAUUCGGGCCACCACGGGGCAUUAAAUAGAGUUCCCUGUACUGUACAGUAUGUUCGUAUAGGUCACACAGGUCAUGUCCGACUCUGUGUGACCCUAUGGAUUGUGGCUCGCCAGGCUCCUCUGUCCAUGGGAUGCUCCAGGCAAGAAUACCACGCCCUCUUCCAGGGGAUCUUCCAGACCCAGGGAUCAAACUCACAUCUCCUGAGGCUUCUGCACUGGCAGGCGGACUCUUUUGCUUUUUGUUUUACCGCUGAGCUGCCUGGGAAGCCCUAUCUAUUGUAUACACAGUAUGAAUAGUGAAUAUGUCUCAAGCCCAAUCUCCCCGUUCCUUCUAUCCCUCUCUUUCCCACUUGGUAUUCAUGCAUUUGUUCCCUACAUCUGUGUGUUUAUUUCUGCUUUGCAAAUAGGAUCAUCUGUACCAUUUUUCUAGAUUCCACAUCUAUGUGUUAAUAUAUGAUAUUUUUUUCUCUUUCUGACUUCCUUCAUUCUGUAUGACAGUCUCUAGGUCCAGCCACAUUACUACGAAUGACCCAGUUUCC